AUUGAACGCUGGCGGCAUGCUUUACACAUGCAAGUCGAACGGUAACAGGCCGCAAGGUGCUGACGAGUGGCGAACGGGUGAGUAAUGCAUCGGAACGUGCCCAGUCGUGGGGGAUAACUACUCGAAAGAGAAGCUAAUACCGCAUACGAUAUAUGGAUGAGAGCGGGGGACGGGAAGGCAUCGCGCGGUUGGAGCGGCCGAUGUCGGAUUAGGUAGUUGGUGGGGUAAAGGCUCACCAAGCCAACGAUCUGUAGCCGGUCUGAGAGGACGAGCAGCCACACUGGGACUGAGACACGGCCCAGACUCCUGCGGGAGGCAGCAGUGGGGAAUUUUGGACAAUGGGCGCAAGCCUGAUCCAGCAAUGCCGCGUGCAGGAAGAAGGCCUUCGGGUUGUAAACUGCUUUUGUACGGAACGAAACGGCUCUGGUUAAUACCCGGGGCUAAUGACGGUACCGUAAGAAUAAGCACCGGCUAACUACGUG
This 482-nucleotide ribosomal RNA is filed under the name uncultured bacterium. Its description in RNAcentral is "partial 16S ribosomal RNA". It matches the Rfam family "Bacterial small subunit ribosomal RNA", at positions 29 to 507 of the family's 1533-position model. The record is from RNAcentral.